This 502-nucleotide long non-coding RNA is filed under the name Marmota monax (woodchuck). The record is from RNAcentral. Lineage: Eukaryota; Metazoa; Chordata; Mammalia; Rodentia; Sciuridae.
GAUUACAAGCGUGUGCCACCAUGCUCAGCAGAACAAUGAGAUAUUUUAGAGAAAGAGAGACCACACUCAUGUAACUUUUAUUAGCUUAUUGUUAAAAUUUUUCUUUUCUUAUUGUUUUUCUCUUCACUUGCCUAAAUUAUAAAUUAAACUUUAUCACAGGUAUGAAUGUAUGAGGGAAAAAAAACAGUGCCUUAUGGAUAGGGUUUGGGUACCAUCAGUGGUUUCAGGCCUCCACUGGGGGUCUUGGAACAUAUCUCCUCUGUAGAUCCAGGGAGACACUGCAUCCCAGGCAGAGGGAACAGCCCUGCAAAACCCAGAACAGCUGACUCAAAAGAUGUGUUUGAGGAAGUGCGAAGACCCGUGGGACCGACCGGGGCCUAGAGCCCAGUGCAUCUGGGACUUUAAUGGGCACGUGAAUCACCUGGAGGCUUGUGAAGGUGCAGAUUCUCAUUCAGCAGGUCUGGAGUGAGGUCAAGGUCCUGCACUUCUAGUAAGCUCCCAG